GUGAAUCAUCGAAUCUUUGAACGCAAAUUGCACUCCCUGGUAUUCCGGGGAGUAUGCCUGUUUGAGGGUCGUUAGAACAAAAAUCGACAUCGUUGCUGUUUCGCGGUGGCGUUCGUCGGAAAUUGGGUCAUCUUAAAUCCUUUUGAUUUAAGCGACUUAAAAUUUUCUUUUAGUUCCAUGAACGUUUCUAAGAUCUAUUUCUUUACACGUUUAAGGUAUCGAUUUUUACUAGACGUGACCAUCAUAUCGGAUCGCGUCCAUAAUCUUUCAUUAACUGAUCUCAGACAGGUAAGAGUACCC
RNAcentral lists this unclassified non-coding RNA (300 nucleotides) under Glomeraceae sp. RNAcentral's name for it is "partial contains 5.8S ribosomal RNA and internal transcribed spacer 2". The stretch from base 1 to 71 matches the Rfam family "5.8S ribosomal RNA", at positions 84 to 154 of the family's 154-position model. The record is from RNAcentral. Lineage: Eukaryota; Fungi; Glomeromycota; Glomeromycetes; Glomerales; Glomeraceae.